Molecule: ribosomal RNA, 440 nt
Filed under: uncultured bacterium
Lineage: Bacteria
Description: partial 16S ribosomal RNA
Rfam family: Bacterial small subunit ribosomal RNA
Source: RNAcentral
CCUACGGGAGGCAGCAGUGAGGAAUAUUGGUCAAUGGGGGAAACCCUGAAGCAGCAACGCCGCGUGGAGGAUGAAGGUUUUCGGAUUGUAAACUCCUUUUGUUAGAGAAGAUAAUGACGGUAUCUAACGAAUAAGCACCGGCUAACUCCGUGCCAGCAGCCGCGGUAAUACGGAGGGUGCAAGCGUUACUCGGAAUCACUGGGCGUAAAGGGCGGGUAGGCGGGAUAGCAAGUCAGAUGUGAAAUCCUAUGGCUUAACCAUAGAACUGCAUUUGAAACUGGUAUUCUAGAGUAUGGGAGAGGUAGGGGGAAUUCUUGGUGUAGGGGUAAAAUCCGUAGAGAUCAAGAGGAAUACUCAUUGCGAAGGCGACCUGCUAGAACAUAACUGACGCUGAUGCGCGAAAGCGUGGGGAGCAAACAGGAUUAGAUACCCUUGUAGUC